This is a long non-coding RNA of Ailuropoda melanoleuca (giant panda), 1341 nucleotides long. RefSeq lists it as uncharacterized. The transcript is spliced from 3 exons. Lineage: Eukaryota; Metazoa; Chordata; Mammalia; Carnivora; Ursidae. The record is from RefSeq and is a predicted model, not a curated record.
CCAAACUCCAGAGUUUAGAUUUCAUCUUUAGAUGGAUAUCAGUCUUUAAAUUUAAUGAGUCCCUUAAAAUGCCAGUUCCUCACUUAAAGCCUGCCUACUUUAUUGGGGGGAGCACCCUUUUUGAAGAGUAACUACUUCCUCAUUCUCAUUUUGCCUACGACCGAAUUCAGAGCCCAAUUUAAAUGCCUUUGGGGUGCAAUGGACACUAAUAGUGGCAAGGUCUCAUUUUAUUUUGUGUUGUCGGAUUGGGAUGAGAAGAUCUUAGUUGACCUUAGCCAACUCACUUUACCUUUUUGAUCACUAAUUUCCUUAACUACAAACUCAAAGAGCUGGAGGACUAGGUCAUUUCAAAUGCCCCUUCUGGCUAGGGAAAGCGGGAGGAAGGGAAGUAAAAAAUGAAGAGCAGGAAAAUCACUACAAUAAUUUGAAUAAAACAAUGAAAAUUUCUACCCACCCAUCCUGAUUCUGUCCUCGGAGGUAGACAGUCCUUCAGAUACUGAAGACCCCUUCCCCUACCUUGUUGCUCUCUCUCACCCAGACUUUUUUCCUCCAGGUUAUCCCGGUUGAUUCCUCUGUCAGUGGCUCUCAAACAGAAUCACCUGGAGACCUUAAGGGACAAAAUACCCAGGGCUACUGCCCUUGCCAGAAAUCUGAUAUUAUAGAUGAUGAAAUUAAUCCGGUCUGGGACCUUGGCUUGGGUAUUUUUUUAAGCUGCCUUCCUAUUCUAAGAAUCAUUCGGGAAGUUAUUUGUUUGUUUAAAUGCUGAUUAUUUACAGCUCUUUAAGAUUCUGAUUCAGUUGAUCCCGGGGUCUGGCUAGGAAUCUUCAUUUGAAUAUCGCACACACAUAUUCUGAUGUAGAUUGUAUGUAGAUUGUUCCAGGACCACAACUGUAAUUCUCACUACCUAACUGCCCUCUACAAUGGGGACUGUCUAGCUCUGCCCCCGCAUGCAUGCAUUUACCCACUCUCUGGUCUUUUGUUUGUCCCUCCCCCCCCCAGGGUGUGUGGUUCUCUCAAAGAAACAAGUAUCAUUGCUCUUUCCUCUGGUCCCUCAAUUGAUUCUCUACUCCAGCACAUCUGAAAUUUAAAUUCUGAAAGAUCCCCAGAACCCACUGCUGAAAGCUUUGGCCUGUAUGUGAGUAGAGAGACAGUGAGCUGCGAGGGAGGAAUUUUGUAAGCGCAGAUCCUGUGGUCUGAUUCAACCAAAUCGCAAUUGCUAAAGGUUGGGCCAUGUUAUCUACAUUUUUGCAAAUUUCUUCAGAUGAUUCCGAAGCACUGCAAGCACUACUCAAAGGCAGGGUGAUUGAAGAUGUUGUGGCUAACCAGUUCUCAAAGGAUGCA